This 277-nucleotide ribosomal RNA is filed under the name uncultured bacterium. RNAcentral's name for it is "partial 16S ribosomal RNA". It matches the Rfam family "Bacterial small subunit ribosomal RNA", at positions 29 to 329 of the family's 1533-position model. The record is from RNAcentral.
AGCGAACGCUGGCGGCAUGCUUAACACAUGCAAGUCGCACGGGCAGCUUCGGCUGUCAGUGGCGGACGGGUGAGUAACGCGUAGGUAUCUAUCCUUGGGUGGGGGACAACCGUGGGAAACUACGGCUAAUACCGCAUGAUAACUGAGGUUUAAAGGCGCAAGUCGCCUGAGGAGGAGCCUGCGUACGAUUAGCUAGUUGGUGGGGUAAAGGCCUACCAAGGCGACGAUCGUUAGCUGGUCUGAGAGGAUGAUCAGCCACAUUGGGACUGAGACACGG